GAUGAACGCUGGCGGCGUGCCUAAUACAUGCAAGUCGAGCGAACGGACGAGAAGCCUGCUUCUCUGAUGUUAGCGGCGGACGGGUGAGUAACACGUGGAUAACCUACCUAUAAGACUGGGAUAACUUCGGGAAACCGGAGCUAAUACCGGAUGAUAUUUUGAACCGCAUGGUUCAAAAGUGAAAGACGGUCUUGCUGUCACUUAUAGAUGGAUCCGCGCUGCAUUAGCUAGUUGGUAAGGUAACGGCUUACCAAGGCAACGAUGCAUAGCCGACCUGAGAGGGGGAUCGGCCACACUGGAACGGAGACACGGUCCAGACUCCUACGGGAGGCAGCAGUAGGGAAUCUUCCGCAAUGGGCGAAAGCCUGACGGAGCAACGCCGCGUGAGUGAUGAAGGUCUUCGGAUCGUAAAACUCUGUUAUUAGGGAAGAACAUAUGUGUAAGUAACUGUGCACAUCUUGACGGUACCUAAUCAGAAAGCCACGGCUAACUACGUG
RNAcentral lists this ribosomal RNA (497 nucleotides) under uncultured bacterium. RNAcentral describes it as "partial 16S ribosomal RNA". It matches the Rfam family "Bacterial small subunit ribosomal RNA", at positions 28 to 507 of the family's 1533-position model. The record is from RNAcentral.